This 204-nucleotide long non-coding RNA is filed under the name Bos indicus x Bos taurus (hybrid cattle). RNAcentral's name for it is "lncRNA (ENSBIXG00005007619.1)". The record is from RNAcentral. Lineage: Eukaryota; Metazoa; Chordata; Mammalia; Artiodactyla; Bovidae.
CCCAGGGGCUGGCAUGACACUAUGCAGAGUUUCACUGAACUCGUUGAGGGAGCAAGAGAGCACCUUCCUGUUGUUGGCUGGCGGGUGAUUACACCAUUCACACUUUUCUUUUUUAGAGUACCUUUCCAACCUGCUGACCUGACUAACUCAACUCUUGGCCUGGUGCAAAGCAAGGAAUCAGAUCCAGAGGGGAGACUUGGUUAA